UUCUCUGUCUCUCUCCCUAGCUCGACUCAACCCUACCCGAGUACCCGAGGCCGGCCAGCCGGCAGCGGCGGCGGACGGCUGCGGGCACCGAGCAGGCAGGCGGCGGCGGCCUUGCACCCAGCGGGGCGGCCUGUGGUGGCGGCACGGCGCAGCCUUGCGCGGGGAGGGGCCUAUGGCGGGUGGCUGCGCGACUGCCGGCCUGCACCGCUGCGGGCACCUUAGCAGGGAGCAGGUAGCUCGCGCGUGGGCCGUUCAAUUGCUCAAUGUUCAAUUGCUCGUAGCUUCUACUUCAAUCUUCAAUCAAGAACUCAAAAUUGGACAAUUGCUAAGGUGUGCCUUUUGAAGAUGUGAUAGCUGGUUUGGCUUGGACGAGUACUUUGCCGACUAGUUGGACCGUGGAGUGGGAUCCAUCCCUGGCCAACAAUGACUCUGCCGAGUGAUGUCACGUAUGGGCUUCAUCGUGGUAUCCAAAUCGACGAUAGUUAAUCGUGUUUUCUUUCCGCUGCUACUUAAAAGUUUCUAUGUUUGAACUUAAAAGUACUCAUUUGAUGAACUCGACUUGUAAUAAUUGAUGUCCGACUUGUGAGACAAAGUUGUGGAAUGUUGUAA
Molecule: long non-coding RNA, 609 nt
Organism: Panicum hallii
Lineage: Eukaryota; Viridiplantae; Streptophyta; Magnoliopsida; Poales; Poaceae
Exons: 2
Source: RefSeq, a predicted model, not a curated record